Molecule: non-coding RNA, 25 nt
Filed under: Mus musculus (house mouse)
Lineage: Eukaryota; Metazoa; Chordata; Mammalia; Rodentia; Muridae
Source: RNAcentral
UCCUAGUGUGCUGGGUAGUGGAGGC